RNAcentral lists this ribosomal RNA (291 nucleotides) under uncultured bacterium. RNAcentral describes it as "partial 16S ribosomal RNA". It matches the Rfam family "Bacterial small subunit ribosomal RNA", at positions 392 to 697 of the family's 1533-position model. The record is from RNAcentral.
CAACGCCGCGUGAGGGAUGAAGGCCUCUGGGCUGUAAACCUCUUUUAUCAAGGAAGAAGAACUGACGGUACUUGAUGAAUAAGCCACGGCUAAUUCCGUGCCAGCAGCCGCGGUAAUACGGGAGUGGCAAGCGUUAUCCGGAAUUAUUGGGCGUAAAGCGGUCCGCAGGCGGUUUUACAAGUCUGUCGUUAAAGCGUGGAGCUCAACUCCAUUUCAGCGAUGGAAACUGUAAGACUCGAGUGUGGUAGGGGCAGAGGGAAUUCCCGGUGUAGCGGUGAAAUGCGUAGAUAU